GUGCCAGUACAAGCCCAAUGUAAAGGUGAAACCGCGAAUGGCUCAUUAAAUCAGCUGUAAUUCCUUGGAUCUGUAUAUUACCCAACAAGUUCCUUGGAUAACUGUGGUAAUUCUAGAGCUAAUACAUGCCAAUCGAGUUCCUGGCCCCUGAUCUUCUUGUUCCCACCUCUUGACUGAGGAGGGAGAGGACUACGUGGGUGCAAGGACGCUUUUAUUAGUUCACAAAAAAAACCAACUGUCGGGCUCUAGCAGUCCUUCAUUGGAAAUCCCUUGUGAUGACUCUGGAUAACUUUUUGCUGAGUGCAAGGCCAUCAUUACAAAAUGAUGAUGCGCCAGUGCCGCAUCUUUCAAGUGUCUGCCUUAUCAGCUUUCGAUUGUAUGCUAUGUGCUUACAAUGGCUAUAACGGGUGACGGGGAAUCAGGGUUCGAUUCCGGAGAGGGAGCCUGAGAAACGGCUACCACAUCUAAGGAAGGCAGCAGGCACGCAAAUUACCCACUCCCAGCACGGGGAGGUAGUGACGAAAAAUAACAAUGUGAGACUCAUCCGAGGCCUCGCAAUUGGAAUGAGUACACUUUAAAUCCUUUAACGAGGACCAAUUGGAGGGCAAGUCUGGUGCCAGCAGCCGCGGUAAUUCCAGCUCCAAUAGCAUAUAUUAAUGCUGUUGCGGUUAAAAAGCUCGUAGUUGGAUCUGAAAUGUAGGGCCUUGGGUCGCCGCCUGGCGAUUCCCUCGGUCUCCUGCAGUGCUCGACAGGUAGUGGUAGAGAUACCGUCUAUUUGUGGGCCGAGCUGGUUUGCACGGGAUGCCCUUAACCGGGUGUCCCGAGUGACUGGCGAGUUUACUUUGAAAAAAUUAGAGUGCUCAAAGCAGGCAUAUACUAAAAAUAAUAAUGCCUGAAUGGUGAUGCAUGGAAUAAUGAAAUAGGACCUUGGUUCUAUUUUGUUGGUUUAUACUGAACCCAAGGUAAUGACUAAGAGAGACAGUCGGGGGCAUUUGUAUUGCGACGCGAGAGGUGAAAUUCGAUGACCGUCGCAAGACAAACAACAGCGAAAGCAUUUGCCAAGGAUGUUUUCAUUAAUCAAGAACGAAAGUUAGAGGUUCGAAGGCGAUCAGAUACCGCCCUAGUUCUAACCAUAAACGAUGCCAACCAGCAAUCUGUCGGCGUUAUACCCAUGACUCGACAGGCAGCUUCUGGGAAACCAAAGUCUUUGGGUUCCGGGGGAAGUAUGGUUGCAAAGCUGAAACUUAAAGGAAUUGACGGAAGGGCACCACCAGGAGUGGAGCCUGCGGCUUAAUUUGACUCAACACGGGAAACCUCACCAGGCCCAGACACUGGAAGGAUUGACAGAAUGAGAGCUCUUUCUCGAUUCAGUGGGUGGUGGUGCAUGGCCGUUCUUAGUUGGUGGAGUGAUUUGUCUGGUUAAUUCCGAUAACGAACGAGACUCUGGCCUACUAACUAGUCGACGGAUCAACCAAAUAAAGGAGGGUUUGUCUGUCUGCGUGCCGUUGUUUAUCGUGGUUGGGCUCCCAUCCCUCGCGUCUCUCGUCUUCCUAGCGAUAGGUUGGCGGGGCGCGUUGUGAUGACGGGUCUUUUCUUCGAGAGGCGGUCGCAGCAGCAGCAUAUCCCGACUUUAACAGGUGCUUCAAGUAUGAUGGUGGUCCCGUCCCACUAAAUAAUGUCUUYUUAGAGGGAUAAGCAGCAAAAUGAAUAGCUGCACGAGAAAGAGCAAUAACAGGUCUGUGAUGCCCUUAGAUGUUCUGGGCCGCACGCGCGCUACACUGAAGGGAGCAACGUGUGUUCCUUCUCCGAGAGGAGAGGGUAACCCGUUGAAAACCCUUCGUGAAAGGGAUUGGGACUUGCAAUUGUGUCCCAUGAACGAGGAAUUCCCAGUAAGCACAAGUCAUCAUCUUGUGCUGAUUAAGUCCCUGCCCUUUGUACACACCGCCCGUCGCUACUACCGAUUGAAUGAUUUAGUGAGGACUUUGGACUGGCGAUCUUGGAGGGGACAGCUUAAAAAUGCUGGAGCUUCUUCAGCGGCUGCUUUUCCUCCUUGAGACGACGGAAAGAUGUCCGAACUUGAUC
This 2082-nucleotide ribosomal RNA is filed under the name Petrolisthes armatus (green porcelain crab). Its description in RNAcentral is "SSU rRNA". It matches the Rfam family "Eukaryotic small subunit ribosomal RNA". Lineage: Eukaryota; Metazoa; Arthropoda; Malacostraca; Decapoda; Porcellanidae. The record is from RNAcentral.